Molecule: ribosomal RNA, 253 nt
Filed under: uncultured bacterium
Lineage: Bacteria
Description: partial 16S ribosomal RNA
Rfam family: Bacterial small subunit ribosomal RNA
Source: RNAcentral
UACGGAGGAUGCAAGCGUUAUCCGGAAUUAUUGGGCGUAAAGCGUCCGCAGGUGGCACUUCAAGUCUGUCGUCAAAGACCGGGGCUUAACCCUGGAAAGGCGAUGGAAACUGAAAGGCUAGAGAGAGGUAGGGGUAGAGGGAAUUCCCAGUGUAGCGGUGAAAUGCGUAGAGAUGGGGGAGAACACUCGUGGCGAAGGCGGCCAGCUAGACCAGUUCUGACACUGAGGCGCGAUAGCGUGGGGAGCAAACAGG